Molecule: unclassified non-coding RNA, 242 nt
Filed under: Hevea brasiliensis (rubber tree)
Lineage: Eukaryota; Viridiplantae; Streptophyta; Magnoliopsida; Malpighiales; Euphorbiaceae
Source: RNAcentral
UGGAAACGUCCACAUCAUCUGGCUUUCCUAAUUGCAAUAGAGGACUUUCUUUCUCACCUCCUUCUAAACUGCCAGCAAGAAGAGGUGAAGUUUUGAAAAGUUUCACGAGUGGCCCAGCCCGUAGAUUCUCCAGACCUUUCAUCAGACCCUUUCCUGGGCCCCCAUCAGGACCAAGAAUUCCAAAUCGAUGCAGUAAGGCUUCAGCAUAGUUCAUUCCUCCACUUAGGCGCACCCCAGCAAUA